This 157-nucleotide ribosomal RNA is filed under the name Podochilus cultratus. RNAcentral describes it as "5.8S ribosomal RNA". Lineage: Eukaryota; Viridiplantae; Streptophyta; Magnoliopsida; Asparagales; Orchidaceae. The record is from RNAcentral.
UCGAGUCUUUGAACGCAAGUUGCGCCCGAGGCCAACCGGCUGAGGGCACGUCCGCCUGGGCGUCAAGCGUUGCGUCGCUCCGUGCCAACCUCGUCCCGUCAAAUGGCGUCGGGGGAGGCGCGGAAGUGCAGGGUGGCUCGUCGUGCCCAUCGGUGUG